GACCGCGUGUACUCUUUCGGCGGACACAACAGCACCGUUCGAGCAAUCUUGUUCUUCCUUCUGAUACUGAUGAUUAUCGUCGGCCGUUUGCUGCUGCUGCUGUUGUACCAAUGUCACCAUGCCCAUGCACUACAUGGAGAACGCUUUUUUUUACAUUGGGGACGUCAACGCGAUAGUAAAAUGAUCAUUAUACAUUGGCAACAAUAAAUUUGAACUUUAUUUCUACCGAUGAGAACCUAAGUACGUCGAAUGAGGAAUAUGAAUGUAAAAUGAGUGUCCUUCAACUAUAAGACAACUAUAACGAAUUGAUUUUCUUGGUAAAAAACAAGCUGCGGACAAAAAUGAAGACAUGUACAACACGCGUCACGUUUAGAACGUCAUCAUCAUUAGUAAAAUAAAAAAAUGGGCUUUAAUUGAAGCGCAUCAUUUGCGAUUAUUAUCCAUUAAAUCGGUGCAACCGAUCACACCCGCAUUAUUUGCUAAGUUAAGGCUGAGAUUGACUCAUACUCGAGAUUACCUCA
Long non-coding RNA from Camponotus floridanus (Florida carpenter ant), 521 nucleotides. RefSeq lists it as uncharacterized. The record is from RefSeq and is a predicted model, not a curated record. Lineage: Eukaryota; Metazoa; Arthropoda; Insecta; Hymenoptera; Formicidae. The transcript is spliced from 3 exons.